GCAAAAAUAAAUAUAAUGAAUUUGGAGAAAAUUGUGACAAUUGUUAAGGAUUUCAGUAACUAAAGGCUCUAUUUUGUCAAAUGUCAUAUUUCAGUAAAUUCCAGUAGUUUGAAAUUCAGAUGUUUUUUAGGAUUAAGAGGAAUUGUAGAGGAGAAAUAAAAUUAAAGGACAGAGAACUAGAAUGGAAUAUAGGGGUAAAAAUAAAGAGUGGAACUGGAGAGAGAUGGUUAACUCAAUCUAAGCAAUAUUUGUGUGUAGUUUGACCUGGCUGAUGAUUUUUAUUGAACUGGAUCCCGUCGUAGACAAUGACACCGUGCAUUUUGCAGUGAUAAAUUUCUAAUUACUGAGCUGAGCUUUUGCAAGUUGGAUACAAACCUAAUUAUUCCAGGUUUGGUACUCUGACAUCAAAAAAUUAAAAAGGAAGCAUAAAAUAUGCAUUAUUGUCUAUAUUCUUGCUGUUAUGUAUCUCUAGGGCAGUGUAAGGUGGCUCUUUGUUCCAGCUUGUGUGUUUCAGCUGUGCCUGGGGUGUGUGGGAGGAGAUGGUUUAUGAAUGUGUGCAUGGCUUCGUGCACAGUUAUGCAACAGCUUGUUUCUUAAAUAGAGGAAUCCCAGGAAACACAGAGAGAACACAACCCACCCACCCUGGAGAACCAAAACCCCCUGCAGAAACCACACACCUUCUCCAAGAUUCAUUCCCAAGGGGGAAUGAGGAGAAGGGAGCAGAUUUACACGGUACCUUGCUAUGUGAUGUAAAUGAAUGUUAUAAUAAUCCAAUUUAUUUCCACAGCUGGAGAUGCUGUCCAUGAGAUGGCAUCAUCUUGUCCAAAGACUCUGGGAACUGACCUGUCCUUGAGGUUGAGGGAUUUCUUAAAACACAGAAGAAGCUGACAACUGUAGCUGACAAUUGGAUCGCUGACAUCCAAAACUCAACCUACUCAUUGACUUCUGAGGAUGGAAAUGAUUCAAGUCAAGCCAUGUCUGCAAAUUACACUGAACCCAACGGGCCCCAAUACUUUAGGAAGUUGGACAGAUCUGGCAAUGAAUUGAGGCUUUUGGCUACAAUUGCAAAACUGGAUCUCUUCUUUGCUUGGCAACUCAUCUGGUAAUUAUGUUGUGUAAAUGGAGUGUGGCUUGCAAAAAGUGGAGGGCACAAAUUUAGCCUUUGAGCAGCUUCGGCUAAGCUCCAUCACUCGUCUGCUGAUGGGGAUGUUUGCUCUGUGCAGAGCAAGACAGUGAUUAAGCCUAGAUCCAAAAGUUCAUCCCAGGUUUACAGCUACUCCAUGAGUAAUGCCUGGUCCUGUGAGCAGAAUUACCCCCUGUGUUAGUUGUCCUCUGUCAGUGCAGGUGUUGGGUUUGAGCUCAGAUAUUUACCCUCGUGGAGGAAGAGCUGAGCUCCAGGCACAGCCCAGGGCAAUGCUGAUGUCCCUGCUCUGGAGGAAAGAUGCUCCCAUGCUUUUUCUGAAGCACCCACUGAAUUUGGGGUCUGUCUCCCAGAGAGCACUAUGACAUGACCUAAAUCCAUUGCAAAAUCAUGUUUUAUGUAAAAAACAGAAAUUCAGAUUUGAAUAAGCUCAUGCUUAAGUGAAACUCUACUUUCCCCUUCCAAGUUAGUGGGUCCCCUUUCUCAUGUAUGUCCUCUGUUAUAAUCAGCUCUUUUUUCCCCCCAACCUCUUCAUGAGCUUUUAAUUGGUCCCACCCUGGAUUUGAGGAUCUUCAGCUUCCUUUGGCCUGCUAAGGUCCACCCAGCUACUUCAGGCCUGGAAGAGAACAGGAUAUAUCCAGGAACAUUUCUGUCACAUUUUCAUUGUCGUCCCUGCAAUGUAACCCUGUUGCAGCCCUAAAUAACUUAUUGGGAUGGGAAAGGAAUCUACCCAUUAAUAAAAACUGUAACACCUCUUUUGAGUUGAUUUGGGCAACAGGACUCUGUUCUGUCUCUUGUACCAUGUCCCCAUCACUGGCUGUUGGCACUGUGCUGCUCCUUGCAUGUGAGUGUCAGCCUGGAUUUAAUGUGGUGACUAAAGUUAAUUAGCAAA
Non-coding RNA from Cyanistes caeruleus (blue tit), 2033 nucleotides. The record is from RefSeq and is a predicted model, not a curated record. NCBI's taxonomy places the organism in Eukaryota, Metazoa, Chordata, Aves, Passeriformes, Paridae.